RNAcentral lists this ribosomal RNA (487 nucleotides) under Pseudoxanthomonas sp. DB1. RNAcentral describes it as "bacterial SSU rRNA". It matches the Rfam family "Bacterial small subunit ribosomal RNA", at positions 8 to 484 of the family's 1533-position model. Lineage: Bacteria; Pseudomonadati; Pseudomonadota; Gammaproteobacteria; Lysobacterales; Lysobacteraceae. The record is from RNAcentral.
AGAGUUUGAUCAUGGCUCAGAGUGAACGCUGGCGGUAGGCCUAACACAUGCAAGUCGAACGGCAGCGGGUAGGGAGCUUGCUCCCUAUGCCGGCGAGUGGCGGACGGGUGAGGAAUACAUCGGAAUCUACUCUGUCGUGGGGGAUAACGUAGGGAAACUUACGCUAAUACCGCAUACGACCUACGGGUGAAAGUGGGGGACCGCAAGGCCUCACGCGAUAGAAUGAGCCGAUGUCCGAUUAGCUAGUUGGCGGGGUAAAGGCCCACCAAGGCGACGAUCGGUAGCUGGUCUGAGAGGAUGAUCAGCCACACUGGGACUGAGACACGGCCCAGACUCCUACGGGAGGCAGCAGUGGGGAAUAUUGGACAAUGGGCGCAAGCCUGAUCCAGCCAUACCGCGUGAGUGAAGAAGGCCCUCGGGUUGUAAAGNUCUUUUGUUGGGAAAGAAAUCCUGUUGGCUAAUACCCGGCAGGGAUGACGACCCAAGA